GUGCUGGAACGCAUAGAAGUGAGAAUGCCGGUAUGAGUAGCGAAAGACAGGUGAGAAUCCUGUCCACCGUAAGACUAAGGUUUCCAGGGGAAGGCUCGUCCGCCCUGGGUUAGUCGGGACCUAAGGAGAGACCGAAAGGUGUAUCCGAUGGACAACAGGUUGAUAUUCCUGUACUAGAGUAUGUAGUGAUGGAGGGACGCAGUAGGCUAACUAAAGCAGACGAUUGGAAGAGUCUGUCUAAGCAGUGAGGUGUGAAUUGAGUUAAAUGC
RNAcentral lists this ribosomal RNA (269 nucleotides) under Ctenophora environmental sample. RNAcentral's name for it is "partial Bacterial large subunit ribosomal RNA". It matches the Rfam family "Bacterial large subunit ribosomal RNA", at positions 1270 to 1543 of the family's 2925-position model. Lineage: Eukaryota; Metazoa; Ctenophora. The record is from RNAcentral.